CAGCCAUCAUAGCUUCUGGCCAGUAGUGCAGCGUAACCUUUCAAGACAAACGCCACUCACGGUUCUCGCCAGCCACUCUUGCGUAGACUGGCCCAUGUGCUGGCUGACUGACGCGGGGUCUUCACUGGCUUUGUAGAGAGUAUCAUGCCCUGCCCUGCCCUGCCCUGUCGAGUGGAGUCACCAGGAAAAUUGACUGUGUAGCAUUGAGAAACCAUCGGAUCUUCUGGAGGGUUGGUAUCCUUUGGCAUUUGAGACAGACGCCCGCUGCGAGGAGGGGGGGCCGGUGUCUCCAGCUGACGUCCCAUUACAGUGUGGCAGUAGUAGUGGGGAUUUGUUCGUAGGCUUCGUACUUCAGUGAUGUCAGGACCACCAGAAGCUGUCACUGCAACUUUGUCGUCUCUGCAUCCGCCUGCCAGACCGCCACACGCUGGGCAGUCGCAGUGUCAGGCGUUCUCGGUCUUCUGAGGUUGAAGUCAAGCAAUUAAAUUCUUUCACCUGAGAAAUCACACGAGUUUCCUCAUGCAAGGCGGCUGUGCAAUUUUACAGAAGGCCUGACCCAUAUAAUCCCAAUCCCUGAGUUUUGAGGAUUGAGGCAGCCGCGUCCUGGAAAAUCUUACGACCUUGAUACUACGCAGCCUGUGGUGAAAGAAAAACCUGUCUAGCACUACCAAAAAGGCUGCUUGGUGGAGACUACUGCAAAAGAGAAGGAAACCUCAUGAUGUACACAACAACUGUCUGAACAAAAUAAAUGCUGUACUGACUCAAUGCACCCAA
Scylla paramamosain (green mud crab) is the source of this 774-nucleotide long non-coding RNA. RefSeq lists it as uncharacterized. The record is from RefSeq and is a predicted model, not a curated record. The transcript is spliced from 5 exons. Lineage: Eukaryota; Metazoa; Arthropoda; Malacostraca; Decapoda; Portunidae.